UACAGAGGUCCCAAGCGUUGUUCGGAUUCACUGGGCGUAAAGGGUGCGUAGGCGGUCGGGUAAGUCUGGCGUGAAAUCUCCAAGCCUAACUUGGAAACUGCGUUGGAUACUAUCCGGCUCGAGGAAUGGAGGGGAGACUGGAAUACUUGGUGUAGCAGUGAAAUGCGUAGAUAUCAAGUGGAACACCAGUGGCGAAGGCGGUUGCCUGGGGCUUUGCUGACGCUGAGGCGCGAAAGCGUGGGGAGCGAACAGG
This 253-nucleotide ribosomal RNA is filed under the name uncultured bacterium. Its description in RNAcentral is "partial 16S ribosomal RNA". It matches the Rfam family "Bacterial small subunit ribosomal RNA", at positions 524 to 776 of the family's 1533-position model. The record is from RNAcentral.